CUUUAAAGAAAUAUUGUCAUUUAUAUCUCAAAUCAGCAUGAACAGGACAUCUUACAGCUGUAGACAUGAUGUGUCAGAAUAUUUUUGUCUGUAUAGUGUAUCUGCUGUCAAGUGUUU
Molecule: long non-coding RNA, 117 nt
Organism: Sphaeramia orbicularis (orbiculate cardinalfish)
Lineage: Eukaryota; Metazoa; Chordata; Actinopteri; Kurtiformes; Apogonidae
Exons: 3
Source: RefSeq, a predicted model, not a curated record